UACAGAGGGUGCAAGCGUUAAUCGGAAUUAUUGGGCGUAAAGCGUGCGUAGGUGGUUUGUUAAGUCUGUUAUGAAAGCCCCGGGCUCAACCUGGGAAUGGCAAUGGAUACUGGCAGGCUAGAGUGCGGUAGAGGGUAGUGGAAUUCCCGGUGUAGCGGUGAAAUGCGUAGAUAUCAGGAGGAACACCUGCGGUGUAGACGGCUUACUGGACCAUAACUGACGCUGAGGCACGAAAGCGUGGGUAGCAAACAGG
Molecule: ribosomal RNA, 253 nt
Filed under: uncultured bacterium
Lineage: Bacteria
Description: partial 16S ribosomal RNA
Rfam family: Bacterial small subunit ribosomal RNA
Source: RNAcentral